GAUGAACGCUGGCGGCGUGCCUAAUACAUGCAAGUCGAGCGAACGGACGAGAAGCUUGCUUCUCUGAUGUUAGCGGCGGACGGGUGAGUAACACGUGGAUAACCUACCUAUAAGACUGGGAUAACUUCUGGAAACCGUAGCUAAUACCGGAUAAUAUUUUGAACCGCAUGUUUCAAAAGUGAAAGACGGUCUUGCUGUCACUUAUAGAUGUAUCCGCGCUGCAUUAGCUAGUUGGUAAGGUAACGGCUUACCAAGGCAACGAUGCAUAGCCGACCUGGGAGGGUGAUCGGCCACACUGGAACGGAGACACGGUCCAGACUCCUACGGGAGGCAGCAGUAGGGAAUCUUCCGAAAUGGGCGAAAGCCUGACGGAGCAACGCCGCGUGAGUGAUGAAGGUCUUCGGAUCGUAAAACUCUGUGAUUAGGGAAGAACAUAUGUGUAAGUAACUGUGCACAUCUUGACGGUACCUAAUCAGAAAGCCACGGCUAACUACGUG
This 497-nucleotide ribosomal RNA is filed under the name uncultured bacterium. RNAcentral's name for it is "partial 16S ribosomal RNA". It matches the Rfam family "Bacterial small subunit ribosomal RNA", at positions 28 to 507 of the family's 1533-position model. The record is from RNAcentral.